This 277-nucleotide ribosomal RNA is filed under the name uncultured bacterium. RNAcentral describes it as "partial 16S ribosomal RNA". It matches the Rfam family "Bacterial small subunit ribosomal RNA", at positions 29 to 332 of the family's 1533-position model. The record is from RNAcentral.
AACGAACGCUGGCGGCAUGCCUAACACAUGCAAGUCGAACGAGACCUUCGGGUCUAGUGGCGCACGGGUGCGUAACACGUGGGAAUUUGCCUCGGGGUAUGGAAUAACUCAGGGAAACUUGAGCUAAUACCAUAUAAUGUCUUCGGACCAAAGAUUUAUCGCCCUGAGAUAAGUCCGCGUAGGAUUAGCUAGUUGGUGGGGUAAAGGCUCACCAAGGCGACGAUCCUUAGCUGGUCGUGAGAGGACGAUCAGCCACACUGGACGUGAGACACGGCCC